RNAcentral lists this ribosomal RNA (401 nucleotides) under uncultured eukaryote. RNAcentral's name for it is "SSU rRNA". It matches the Rfam family "Eukaryotic small subunit ribosomal RNA", at positions 755 to 1157 of the family's 1831-position model. The record is from RNAcentral.
CUUUGANGUAAAUUAGAGUNUUCAAAGCAGGCGAUCGCCNUGAAUACAUUAGCAUGGAAUAGCAUGAUAGGACUCUGGCCUAUCUUGCUGGUCUGUAGGACCGGAGUAAUGAUUAAGAGGGACAGUCGGGGGCAUUCGUAUUUCAUUGUCAGAGGUGAAAUUCUUGGAUUUAUGAAAGACGAACUUCUGCGAAAGCAUUUGCCAAGGAUGUUUUCAUUGAUCAAGAACGAAAGUUGGGGGCUCGAAGACGAUUAGAUACCGUCGUAGUCUCAACCAUAAACGAUGCCGACCAGGGAUUGGCGGGUGUUCUUUUAAUGACCCCGCCAGCACCUUGAGAGAAAUCAGAGUCUUUGGGUUCCGGGGGGAGUAUGGGAGCAAGGCUGAAACUUAAAGGAAUUGAC